Molecule: ribosomal RNA, 496 nt
Filed under: uncultured bacterium
Lineage: Bacteria
Description: partial 16S ribosomal RNA
Rfam family: Bacterial small subunit ribosomal RNA
Source: RNAcentral
GAUGAACGCUGGCGGCGUGCCUAAUACAUGCGAGUCGAGCGAACAGACGAGGAGCUUGCUCCUCUGACGUUAGCGGCGGACGGGUGAGUAACACGUGAUAACCUACCUAUAAGACUGGGAUAACUUCGGGAAACCGGAGCUAAUACCGGAUAAUAUAUUGAACCGCAUGGUUCAAUAGUGAAAGACGGUUUUGCUGUCACUUAUAGAUGGAUCCGCGCCGCAUUAGCUAGUUGGUAAGGUAACGGCUUACCAAGGCAACGAUGCGUAGCCGACCUGAGAGGGUGAUCGGCCACACUGGAACUGAGACACGGUCCAGACUCCUACGGGAGGCAGCAGUAGGGAAUCUUCCGCAAUGGGCGAAAGCUUGACGGAGCAACGCCGCGUGAGUGAUGAAGGUCUUCGGAUCGUAAAACUCUGUUAUUAGGGAAGAACAAAUGUGUAAGUAACUAUGCACGUCUUGACGGUACCUAAUCAGAAAGCCACGGCUAACUACGUG